RNAcentral lists this unclassified non-coding RNA (173 nucleotides) under uncultured Ascomycota. RNAcentral describes it as "sequence contains ITS1". Lineage: Eukaryota; Fungi; Ascomycota. The record is from RNAcentral.
UGGUAGAGCGUGGCCGGCCUCGCCGGUCGUCGCGACACCCCCUGUGUACCCCUCUGGUUGCUUCGGCGGGCCGCCGGCUCGUUCGGCCACUGCCCCCGGGCGGUGUGCGCCCGCCGGAAGACCCCCAAACCCUGGCUUUUGCAGUGAUGUCCGAGCCUUUUUGAAAUGAAUCA